CAUGACCUUAGAUCAGAUAUGGCAACCCAUUGAGUUUAUGCAUAUCAAUAAGCGGAGGA
RNAcentral lists this ribosomal RNA (59 nucleotides) under Allium ampeloprasum (leek). Its description in RNAcentral is "partial large subunit ribosomal RNA". The record is from RNAcentral. Lineage: Eukaryota; Viridiplantae; Streptophyta; Magnoliopsida; Asparagales; Amaryllidaceae.